AUGAACGCUGGCGGCGUGCUUAACACAUGCAAGUCGAACGGAAAGGCUCCUGCUUGCAGGGGUACUCGAGUGGCGAACGGGUGAGUAACACGUGGGUGAUCUGCCCUGCACUUCGGGAUAAGCCUGGGAAACUGGGUCUAAUUCCGGAUAGGACGAUGGUUUGGAUGCCAUUGUGGAAAGUUUUUCGGUGUGGGAUGAGCUCGCGGCCUAUCAGCUUGUUGGUGGGGUAAUGGCCUACCAAGGCGUCGACGGGUAGCCGGCCUGAGAGGGUGUACGGCCACAUUGGGACUGAGAUACGGCCCAGACUCCUACGGGAGGCAGCAGUGGGGAAUAUUGCACAAUGGGCGCAAGCCUGAUGCAGCGACGCCGCGUGGGGGAUGACGGCCUUCGGGUUGUAAACUCCGUUCGCUAGGGACGAAGCGUUUUGUGACGGUACCUGGAGAAGAAGCACCGGCUAACUACGUG
RNAcentral lists this ribosomal RNA (465 nucleotides) under uncultured bacterium. RNAcentral's name for it is "partial 16S ribosomal RNA". It matches the Rfam family "Bacterial small subunit ribosomal RNA", at positions 29 to 507 of the family's 1533-position model. The record is from RNAcentral.